AAUGGGGGAUAACGUAGCGAAAGUUACGCUAAUACCGCAUAUGCCCUGAGGGGGAAAGUGGGGGAUCGCAAGACCUCACGUUUUCGGAGCGGCCGAUAUCAGAUUAGCUAGUUGGUGGGGUAAAGGCCYACCAAGGCGACGAUCUGUAGCUGGUCUGAGAGGACGACCAGCCACACUGGGACUGAGACACGGCCCAGACUCCUACGGGAGGCAGCAGUGGGGAAUUUUGGACAAUGGGGGCAACCCUGAUCCAGCCAUGCCGCGUGAGUGAAGAAGGCCUUCGGGUUGUAAAGCUCUUUCGGACAGAAAGAAAUCGCACAGGUUAAUACCUUGUGUGGAUGACGGUACUGUAAGAAGAAGCACCGGCUAACUACGUGCCAGCAGCCGCGGUAAUACGUAGGGUGCGAGCGUUAAUCGGAAUUACUGGGCGUAAAGCGUGCGCAGGCGGUUUAUUAAGACAGAUGUGAAAUCCCCGGGCUUAACCUGGGAACUGCAUUUGUGACUGGUAGGCUAGAGUGUGGCAGAGGGGGGUAGAAUUCCA
This 541-nucleotide ribosomal RNA is filed under the name uncultured Gallionellaceae bacterium. Its description in RNAcentral is "bacterial SSU rRNA". It matches the Rfam family "Bacterial small subunit ribosomal RNA", at positions 135 to 671 of the family's 1533-position model. The record is from RNAcentral. Lineage: Bacteria; Pseudomonadati; Pseudomonadota; Betaproteobacteria; Nitrosomonadales; Gallionellaceae.